CCUACGGGGGGCAGCAGUGAGGAAUAUUGGUCAAUGGACGAGAGUCUGAACCAGCCAAGUAGCGUGAAGGAUGACUGCCCUAUGGGUUGUAAACUUCUUUUAUAUGGGAAUAAAAUGUUCCACGUGUGGGAUUUUGUAUGUACCAUAUGAAUAAGGAUCGGCUAACUCCGUGCCAGCAGCCGCGGUAAUACGGAGGAUCCGAGCGUUAUCCGGAUUUAUUGGGUUUAAAGGGAGCGUAGGUGGAUUGUUAAGUCAGUUGUGAAAGUUUGCGGCUCAACCGUAAAAUUGCAGUUGAAACUGGCAGUCUUGAGUACAGUUGAGGUGGGCGGAAUUCGUGGUGUAGCGGUGAAAUGCUUAGAUAUCACGAAGAACUCCGAUUGCGAAGGCAGUUCACUAGACUGCAACUGACACUGAGGCUCGAAAGUGUGGGUAUCAAACAGGAUUAGAUACCCUAGUAGUC
RNAcentral lists this ribosomal RNA (460 nucleotides) under uncultured bacterium. RNAcentral describes it as "partial 16S ribosomal RNA". It matches the Rfam family "Bacterial small subunit ribosomal RNA", at positions 338 to 795 of the family's 1533-position model. The record is from RNAcentral.